UACGUAGGUCCCGAGCGUUAUCCGGAUUUAUUGGGCGUAAAGCGAGCGCAGGCGGUUAGAUAAGUCUGAAGUUAAAGGCUGUGGCUUAACCAUAGUACGCUUUGGAAACUGUUUAACUUGAGUGCAAGAGGGGAGAGUGGAAUUCCAUGUGUAGCGGUGAAAUGCGCAGAGAUAUGGAGGAACACCAGUGGCGAAGGCGACUUUCUGGUCUGUAACUGACGCUGAUGUGCGAAAGCGUGGGGAUCAA
This 247-nucleotide ribosomal RNA is filed under the name uncultured Streptococcaceae bacterium. RNAcentral's name for it is "partial 16S ribosomal RNA". It matches the Rfam family "Bacterial small subunit ribosomal RNA", at positions 524 to 771 of the family's 1533-position model. The record is from RNAcentral. Lineage: Bacteria; Bacillati; Bacillota; Bacilli; Lactobacillales; Streptococcaceae.